This 399-nucleotide ribosomal RNA is filed under the name uncultured bacterium. RNAcentral describes it as "partial 16S ribosomal RNA". It matches the Rfam family "Bacterial small subunit ribosomal RNA", at positions 338 to 734 of the family's 1533-position model. The record is from RNAcentral.
CCUACGGGAGGCAGCAGUGAGGAAUAUUGGUCAAUGGGCGCGAGCCUGAACCAGCCAAGUCGCGUGAAGGAUGACUGCUCUAUGGGUUGUAAACUUCUUUUAUAAAGGAAUAAAGUUAUGCACGUGUGCCUUUUUGCAUGUACUUUAUGAAUAAGCAUCGGCUAACUCCGUGCCAGCAGCCGCGGUAAUACGGAGGAUCCGAGCGUUAUCCGGAUUUAUUGGGUUUAAAGGGAGCGUAGAUUGUUUUUUAAGUCAGUGGUGAAAGUUUGCGGCUCAACCGUAAAAUUGCCGUUGAUACUGGCAGCCUUGAGUGCGUUUGAGGUAGGCGGAAUGCGUGGUGUAGCGGUGAAAUGCAUAGAUAUCACGAAGAACUCCGAUUGCGAAGGCAGCCUACUAAGC